AGCUCAGGUGGUUAGAGCGCACCCCUGAUAAGGGUGAGGUCGGUGGUUCAAGUCCACUC
This 59-nucleotide transfer RNA is filed under the name Citrobacter freundii. RNAcentral describes it as "tRNA-Ile". It matches the Rfam family "tRNA", at positions 9 to 64 of the family's 71-position model. Rfam says of the family: Transfer RNA (tRNA) molecules are approximately 80 nucleotides in length. Lineage: Bacteria; Pseudomonadati; Pseudomonadota; Gammaproteobacteria; Enterobacterales; Enterobacteriaceae. RNAcentral also lists the same sequence under 26 other names. The record is from RNAcentral.